CUUCAGCGAGCCGAGCCACAGCGGGUGGUCCUCGGGCCGGUUCUGGCCGUACGUCGCGAUGACGGCCUGGGCCUC
Molecule: antisense RNA, 75 nt
Filed under: Streptomyces sp. TSRI0107
Lineage: Bacteria; Bacillati; Actinomycetota; Actinomycetes; Kitasatosporales; Streptomycetaceae
Description: ASpks sRNA
Rfam family: ASpks TB sRNA
Source: RNAcentral